RNAcentral lists this ribosomal RNA (542 nucleotides) under uncultured Verrucomicrobiota bacterium. Its description in RNAcentral is "bacterial SSU rRNA". It matches the Rfam family "Bacterial small subunit ribosomal RNA", at positions 8 to 522 of the family's 1533-position model. Lineage: Bacteria; Pseudomonadati; Verrucomicrobiota. The record is from RNAcentral.
AGAGUUUGAUCCUGGCUCAGAACGAACGCUGGCGGCGUGGAUAAGACAUGCAAGUCGAGCGGAACAAUCAGGGUAGCAAUAUUCUGGUUGUUCAGCGGCGCAAGGGUGCGUAACACGUGGGUAAUUUGCCAUGAAGUCUGGAAUAACUUGCUGAAAGGCGAGCUAAUGCCGGAUGUGACUUCCGAAGGGCAUCUUUUGGAAUUCAAAGUUGGGGACCUUUAUCGGCCUGACGCUUCUUGAUAAGCCCGCGGUCUAUCAGCUAGUUGGUGAGGUAACGGCUCACCAAGGCUAAGACGGAUAGCUGGUCUGAGAGGACGACCAGCCACACUGGAACUGAGACACGGUCCAGACACCUACGGGUGGCAGCAGUCGAGAAUUUUUCACAAUGGGCGAAAGCCUGAUGGAGCGACGCCGCGUGGGGGAUGAAUGGCUUCGGCCCGUAAACCCCUGUCAUUUGCGAACAAACCUUACCGGUUAACAACCGGUGAGCUGAUUGUAGCGGAAGAGGAAGGACGGCUAACUCUGUGCCAGCAGCCGCGGUA